CUCCAUCUGCCUGCCUGUCUCAGCUGGAAAUCUCCAUCAUCAGUCAGUGGACUGAUGGAUCAUGGCACUAAAACUCCUCAGUAGAAGGCAGCUGCAUUAUCUAAGGGGGGGAACAUGUUAAACAGCUUGAUGCAGAUGAGCAGGUAACCAUGGAAGUCGUGAGCUGAGGCUGCAGAGUCUAGAGCCAGAGUGUGGAAUAAACUUGGGUCUCAAAUCACCCCUGGAGCAAAGCCCCCAUCUAAUCAGGAACUUCUACUUUCAACUUUACAUGCGUGAGAAAUGAACUUCUAUCAUGUUAGAGAAAUCCUUACACGGCGCCCUUGAGAGCUUUCAUACUGCAAGUCAUCCAUUUUCCUCCCCUCAAACCUGGCAUCGGUGUUUAUUGAAACAAAGCAAAAUAAAACAAAUA
This 409-nucleotide non-coding RNA is filed under the name Pan troglodytes (chimpanzee). Lineage: Eukaryota; Metazoa; Chordata; Mammalia; Primates; Hominidae. The record is from RNAcentral.